UUUUAAGUAAGGAAUCAGCCGCAUUUUGUGACUUAAAUGUUUGAACAGUGAUGUUUUCCUAUGUGGGGAUUGAAUGCAGAUUUGGUAGUCAUUUUUAAUCUACAGUAUCUGAAAUAAAUGUUUCUUUGUAAGGUUUUUCGUUGAUUGUUUAAUGUCAAGUAAAUUUAGAUCAAGCAUUAAUGAUUUGAGGCAAUUUUUGGUGUAACGCAAUAUGCAGCUUAACAUAUGGUUUAAAUUUGAUGUAAGUUUUUUUUUUCCCCCCCAGAAAACUUUAGAAACUGUUCCUUUGGAGAGGAAAAAGAGAGAAAAGGAACAGUUCCGUAAACUCUUUAUUGGUGGCUUGAGCUUCGAAACAACCGAAGAAAGUUUGAGGAAUUACUAUGAGGAAUGGGGGAAACUUACCGAUUGUGUGGUUAUGCGAGAUCCAGCAAGCAAAAGAUCAAGAGGAUUUGGUUUUGUCACCUUUUCGUCCAUGGCCGAGGUUGAUGCUGCCAUGGCCGCAAGACCUCAUUCGAUUGAUGGAAGAGUGGUAGAGCCAAAACGAGCGGUUGCAAGAGAGGAAUCUGGAAAACCAGGGGCUCAUGUAACUGUAAAGAAGCUUUUUGUUGGUGGAAUAAAAGAAGAUACUGAGGAACAUCAUCUUAGAGAUUACUUUGAGGAAUAUGGAAAAAUUGACACUAUCGAGAUAAUUACAGAUAGGCAGUCUGGAAAGAAAAGAGGCUUUGGAUUUGUUACUUUUGAUGACCAUGAUCCUGUGGAUAAGAUCGUAUUACAGAAGUACCAUACCAUUAAUGGACAUAAUGCAGAAGUAAGAAAGGCUUUGUCAAGGCAAGAAAUGCAGGAAGUCCAAAGUUCUAGGAGUGGAAGAGGAGGCAACUUUGGCUUUGGAGAUUCUCGUGGUGGAGGAGGAAAUUUUGGACCAGGACCUGGUAGUAAUUUCAGAGGAGGAUCUGAUGGAUAUGGAAGUGGUCGUGGAUUUGGAGAUGGCUAUAAUGGAUAUGGAGGAGGACCCGGAGGUGGCAAUUUUGGAGGUAGCCCUGGUUAUGGAGGAGGAAGAGGAGGAUAUGGUGGUGGAGGACCUGGAUAUGGCAACCAGGGUGGGGGCUACGGAGGUGGUUAUGACAACUAUGGAGGAGGAAACUAUGGAAGUGGAAAUUACAAUGAUUUUGGGAAUUAUAAUCAGCAACCUUCCAACUAUGGUCCAAUGAAGAGUGGAAACUUUGGUGGUAGCAGGAAUAUGGGGGGACCAUAUGGUGGAGGAAACUAUGGUCCUGGAGGCAGUGGAGGAAGUGGGGGUUAUGGAGGAAGAAGCAGAUAUUGAGCUUCUUCCCAUUGCCAUGGCAUUGCCCAGAACCAUGGACAAGCAUAUUCUGCUGCCACAAAGACUGUAACAAGUGCUUCAUUUCAACAGCUGAGGCAAGCCCAGUGAAUCAUUAAUAAAGCUUUUCUUGGUUCCUUCAGUGAUGUUGGUAGUCAAAUGGAAGGUGUCUUGCUGCAGGUAACUAAUGAAGAAGUGGUCAACCACAGAAUCUUCAAGAAAUAAGAAAUUCUGUACCAUCUGAAAGUAGUUCUUGUUGGUGCCUUCAUUUUAAAAGCACUUUUUUUUUAAAGAUUAAAGGGAAAUGUUUUCUGAUAAAAUACAAACUUUUUAGUACAGGUUCUUAAGAUCGAAUAAGUACAGAUUUGAGUAUUGUUUGUAAGACGAGCUAGAGCUUAAUGUGUCAUGUUUUAAAUUAGGUUUUGUGAGUAGACUUAAUUCUAUUUUAAAUAUAAAAUUUAUAAAAUAAAUACUUUUGUAUUCAAAUACUUGGUGUAAUAUCUACACAUAAAAUGUGAAUUCUGUUCUAUAUACUAUAUACAUUUACUUUGUGAAGGAUUGCCAUACCCUAGGUUUUGAAAGAUUUCAGAAAACUUCAUAAUGCCACUUUUACUUCAUAGGCAAAUGCGAAGAAGCAUUAUUGGCUGUCCGUAAUAAAAUGCCAUUCUUUGUACAUUGUA
This is an RNA transcript of Suncus etruscus (white-toothed pygmy shrew), 1998 nucleotides long. It is a transcript of the gene named heterogeneous nuclear ribonucleoprotein A2/B1, with no coding region annotated. The record is from RefSeq and is a predicted model, not a curated record. The transcript has 12 exons. NCBI's taxonomy places the organism in Eukaryota, Metazoa, Chordata, Mammalia, Eulipotyphla, Soricidae.